CCUACGGGGGGCAGCAGUGGGGAAUAUUGCACAAUGGGCGCAAGCCUGAUGCAGCCAUGCCGCGUGUGUGAAGAAGGCCUUCGGGUUGUAAAGCACUUUCAGCGGGGAGGAAGGCGGCGAGGUUAAUAACCUCAUCGAUUGACGUUACCCGCAGAAGAAGCACCGGCUAACUCCGUGCCAGCAGCCGCGGUAAUACGGAGGGUGCAAGCGUUAAUCGGAAUUACUGGGCGUAAAGCGCACGCAGGCGGUCUGUCAAGUCGGAUGUGAAAUCCCCGGGCUCAACCUGGGAACUGCAUUCGAAACUGGCAGGCUAGAGUCUUGUAGAGGGGGGUAGAAUUCCAGGUGUAGCGGUGAAAUGCGUAGAGAUCUGGAGGAAUACCGGUGGCGAAGGCGGCCCCCUGGACAAAGACUGACGCUCAGGUGCGAAAGCGUGGGGAGCAAACAGGAUUAGAUACCCGGGUAGUC
Molecule: ribosomal RNA, 465 nt
Filed under: uncultured Klebsiella sp.
Lineage: Bacteria; Pseudomonadati; Pseudomonadota; Gammaproteobacteria; Enterobacterales; Enterobacteriaceae
Description: bacterial SSU rRNA
Rfam family: Bacterial small subunit ribosomal RNA
Source: RNAcentral